CUCAGGAUGAACGCUGGCGGCGUGCCUAACACAUGCAAGUCGAGCGAUCUCUCGGAGAGAGCGGCGGACGGGUGAGUAACGCGUGGGUAACCUGCCCUGUACACACGGAUAACAUACCGAAAGGUAUACUAAUACGGGAUAACAUAUGAAAGUCGCAUGGCUUUUGUAUCAAAGCUCCGGCGGUACAGGAUGGACCCGCGUCUGAUUAGCUAGUUGGUAAGGUAAUGGCUUACCAAGGCAACGAUCAGUAGCCGACCUGAGAGGGUGAUCGGCCACACUGGAACUGAGACACGGUCCAGACUCCUACGGGAGGCAGCAGUGGGGAAUAUUGCACAAUGGGCGAAAGCCUGAUGCAAGCAACGCCGCGUGAGCGAUGAAGGCCUUCGGGUCGUAAAGCUCUGUCCUCAAGGAAGAUAAUGACGGUACUUGAGGAGGAAGCCCCGGCUAACUACGUGCCAGCAGCGGC
RNAcentral lists this ribosomal RNA (466 nucleotides) under uncultured bacterium. Its description in RNAcentral is "bacterial SSU rRNA". It matches the Rfam family "Bacterial small subunit ribosomal RNA", at positions 23 to 518 of the family's 1533-position model. The record is from RNAcentral.